GAUCAAAGUGUAGUAUCUGUUCUUAUCAGCUUAAUAUCUGAUACGCGGUGCAUGCACCGCUACGAUAUUAAACUGAUUUUUGGAACUAGGCGGUGGCUCUGGGNUUUACCUACCCACCGCCACGGGUUGGCC
This 132-nucleotide small nuclear RNA is filed under the name Paralepidonotus ampulliferus. RNAcentral describes it as "partial U2 small nuclear RNA". It matches the Rfam family "U2 spliceosomal RNA", at positions 25 to 156 of the family's 192-position model. Rfam says of the family: U2 is a small nuclear RNA (snRNA) component of the spliceosome (involved in pre-mRNA splicing). Complementary binding between U2 snRNA (in an area lying towards the 5' end but 3' to hairpin I) and the branchpoint sequence (BPS) of the intron results the bulging out of an unpaired adenosine, on the BPS, which initiates a nucleophilic attack at the intronic 5' splice site, thus starting the first of two transesterification reactions that mediate splicing. Lineage: Eukaryota; Metazoa; Annelida; Polychaeta; Phyllodocida; Polynoidae. The record is from RNAcentral.